RNAcentral lists this ribosomal RNA (450 nucleotides) under uncultured Alphaproteobacteria bacterium. Its description in RNAcentral is "bacterial SSU rRNA". It matches the Rfam family "Bacterial small subunit ribosomal RNA", at positions 411 to 879 of the family's 1533-position model. The record is from RNAcentral. Lineage: Bacteria; Pseudomonadati; Pseudomonadota; Alphaproteobacteria.
AAGGCCUUAGGGUUGUAAAGCUCUUUCAGCAGGGACGAUAAUGACGGUACCUGCAGAAGAAGCCCCGGCUAACUCCGUGCCAGCAGCCGCGGUAAGACGGAGGGGGCUAGCGUUGUUCGGAAUUACUGGGCGUAAAGCGCGCGUAGGCGGGUGUGCAAGUUGGGGGUGAAAGCCCGGGGCUCAACCUCGGAACUGCCUUCAAAACUGCACAUCUAGAGGACGGGAGAGGCAAGUGGAAUUCCCAGUGUAGAGGUGAAAUUCGUAGAUAUUGGGAAGAACACCGGUGGCGAAGGCGACUUGCUGGACCGGAUCUGACGCUGAGGUGCGAAAGCGUGGGGAGCGAACAGGAUUAGAUACCCUGGUAGUCCACGCCGUAAACGAUGGGUGCUAGGUGUCGGGCGGCUUGCCGUUCGGUGCCGCAGCUAACGCGUUAAGCACCCCGCCUGGGGA